Molecule: ribosomal RNA, 373 nt
Filed under: Theileria capreoli
Lineage: Eukaryota; Apicomplexa; Aconoidasida; Piroplasmida; Theileriidae
Description: SSU rRNA
Rfam family: Eukaryotic small subunit ribosomal RNA
Source: RNAcentral
UACGGGGCUUAUGUCUUGUAAUUGGAAUGAUGGGAAUUUAAACCUCUUCCAGAGUAAACAUUGGAGGGCAAGUCUGGUGCCAGCAGCCGCGGUAAUUCCAGCUCCAAUAGCGUAUAUUAAAAUUGUUGCAGUUAAAAAGCUCGUAGUUGAAUUUCUGCUGCAUUGCAUUUUCUCCUAUACUAGUUUUUGCAUUGUGGCUUAUUUCGGUUAUAAAAUUUAUUUUUAUUUCCGGAUGUUUACUUUGAGAAAAUUAGAGUGCUCAAAGCAGGCUUUUGCCUUGAAUAGUUUAGCAUGGAAUAAUAAAGUAGGACUUUGGUUCUAUUUUGUUGGUUUUAGGUACCAAAGUAAUGGUUAAUAGGAACAGUUGGGGUCA